This 265-nucleotide ribosomal RNA is filed under the name uncultured bacterium. Its description in RNAcentral is "partial 16S ribosomal RNA". It matches the Rfam family "Bacterial small subunit ribosomal RNA", at positions 524 to 795 of the family's 1533-position model. The record is from RNAcentral.
UACGUAGGUGACAAGCGUUGUCCGGAAUUAUUGGGCGUAAAGGGAGCGCAGGCGGUUGGAAUAGUCUGAUGUGAAAGCCCACGGCUUAACCGUGGAAUUGCAUUGGAAACUGUCCAACUUGAAUGCAGAAGAGGAAAGCGGAAUUCCAUGUGUAGCGGUGAAAUGCGUAGAUAUAUGGAGGAACACCAGUGGCGAAGGCGGCUUUCUGGUCUGUGAUUGACGCUGAGGCUCGAAAGCUGGGGAGCGAAGGAUAGAUACCGUAGUC